GAAUUGCGAACGGGUGAGUAACGCGUAGGUAACCUGCCUUGUAGCGGGGGAUAACUAUUGGAAACGAUAGCUAAUACCGCAUAACGAUGGAUGACCCAUGUCAUUUAUUUGAAAGGGGCAAAUGCUCCACUACAGGAUGGACCUGCGUUGUAUUAACUAGUAGGUGAGGUAACGGCUCACCUAGGCGACGAUACAUAGCCGACCUGAGAGGGUGAUCGCCAACACUGGGAAUGAGACACGGCCCAAACUCUUACGGGAGGCAGCAGUAGGGAAUCUUCGGCAAUGGGGGCAACCCUGACCGAGCAACGCCGCGUGAGUGAGAAAGGUUUCGGAUCGUAAAGCUCUGUUGUAAGUCAAGAACAGAGUGUGAGAGUGGAAAGUUCUCACUGUGACGGUAGCUCACCAGAAAGGGAUGGCUAACUACGUGCCAGCAGCCGCGGUAAUACGUAGGUCCCGAGCGUUGUCCGGAUUUAUUGGGCGUAAAGCGAGCGCAGGCGGUUUGAUAAGUCUGAAGUUAAACGCUGUGGCUCAACCAUAGUUCGCUUCGGAAACUGUCAAACUUGAGUGCAGAAGGGGAGAGUGGAAUUCCAUGUGUAGCGGUGAAAUGCGUAGAUAUAUGGAGGAACACCGGUGGCGAAAGCGGCUCUCUGGUCUGUAACUGACGCUGAGGCUCGAAAGCGUGGGGAGCGAACAGGAUUAGAUACCCUGGUAGUCCACGCCGUAAACGAUGAGUGCUAGGUGUUGGAUCCUUUCCGGGAUUCAGUGCCGCAGCUAACGCAUUAAGCACUCCGCCUGGGGAGUACGACCGCAAGGUUGAAACUCAAAGGAAUUGACGGGGGCCCGCACAAGCGGUGGAGCAUGUGGUUUAAUUCGAAGCAACGCGAAGAACCUUACCAGGUCUUGACAUCCCGAUGCUAUUUUUAGAGAUAGGAAGUUCCUUCGGUACAUCGGUGACAGGUGGUGCAUGGUUGUCGUCAGCUCGUGUCGUGAGAUGUUGGGUUAAGUCCCGCAACGAGCGCAACCCCUAUUGUUAGUUGCCAUCAUUCAGUUGGGCACUCUAGCAAGACUGCCGGUAAUAAACCGGAGGAAGGUG
RNAcentral lists this ribosomal RNA (1093 nucleotides) under uncultured bacterium. RNAcentral's name for it is "bacterial SSU rRNA". It matches the Rfam family "Bacterial small subunit ribosomal RNA", at positions 93 to 1175 of the family's 1533-position model. The record is from RNAcentral.